CCUACGGGUGGCAGCAGUGGGGGAUAUUGCACAAUGGGGGGAACCCUGAUGCAGCGACGCCGCGUGGGUGAAGAAGCGCCUCGGCGCGUAAAGCCCUGUCAGCAGGGAAGAAAAUGACGGUACCUGAAGAAGAAGCACCGGCUAACUACGUGCCAGCAGCCGCGGUCAAACGUAGGGGGCAAGCGGUAUCCGGAUUUACGGGGUGUAAAGGGGGCGCAGACGGCGAUGCAAGCAAGGAGUGAAAGCCCGGGGGCCAACCCCGGGACUGCUGUUGGAACUGGGUGGCUGGAGUGGAGGAGGGGCAGGCGGAAUUCCUGGUGUAGCGGUGAAAUGCGUAGAUAUCAGGAGGAACACCGGUGGCGAAGGCGGCCUGCUGGACUGAAACUGACGUUGAGGCCCGAAAGCGUGGGGAGCAAACAGGAUUAGAUACCCCUGUAGUC
RNAcentral lists this ribosomal RNA (440 nucleotides) under uncultured bacterium. RNAcentral's name for it is "partial 16S ribosomal RNA". It matches the Rfam family "Bacterial small subunit ribosomal RNA", at positions 338 to 795 of the family's 1533-position model. The record is from RNAcentral.